GAUGAACGCUAGCGGCAGGCCUAACACAUGCAAGUCGAGGGAGAGGUUACCUUCGGGUACCCAAAACCGGCGCACGGGUGCGUAACGCGUAUACAAUCUGCCUUUCACAUAGGGAUAGCCCGAAGAAAUUUGGAUUAAUACCUAAUGGUAUAUAAGAGCGGCAUCGUUUUUAUAUUAAAGCUACGGUGGUGAAAGAUGAGUAUGCGUUCUAUUAGCUAGUUGGAGAGGUAACGGCUCCCCAAGGCGACGAUAGAUAGGGGUUCUGAGAGGGAUGUCCCCCACACUGGUACUGAGAUACGGACCAGACUCCUACGGGAGGCAGCAGUGAGGAAUAUUGGACAAUGGUCGGAAGACUGAUCCAGCCAUGCCGCGUGCAGGAUGAAGGUCCUAUGGAUUGUAAACUGCUUUUGGAAGGGAAGAAUAAGGAGUACGUGUACUUUGAUGACGGUACCUUACGAAUAAGCAUCGGCUAACUCCGUG
RNAcentral lists this ribosomal RNA (480 nucleotides) under uncultured bacterium. RNAcentral's name for it is "partial 16S ribosomal RNA". It matches the Rfam family "Bacterial small subunit ribosomal RNA", at positions 28 to 507 of the family's 1533-position model. The record is from RNAcentral.